This 619-nucleotide ribosomal RNA is filed under the name Bradyrhizobium japonicum. RNAcentral's name for it is "bacterial SSU rRNA". It matches the Rfam family "Bacterial small subunit ribosomal RNA", at positions 64 to 727 of the family's 1533-position model. Lineage: Bacteria; Pseudomonadati; Pseudomonadota; Alphaproteobacteria; Hyphomicrobiales; Nitrobacteraceae. The record is from RNAcentral.
GAGCGGGCGUAGCAAUACGUCAGCGGCAGACGGGUGAGUAACGCGUGGGAACGUACCUUUUGGUUCGGAACAACACAGGGAAACUUGUGCUAAUACCGGAUAAGCCCUUACGGGGAAAGAUUUAUCGCCGAAAGAUCGGCCCGCGUCUGAUUAGCUAGUUGGUAGGGUAACGGCCUACCAAGGCGACGAUCAGUAGCUGGUCUGAGAGGAUGAUCAGCCACAUUGGGACUGAGACACGGCCCAAACUCCUACGGGAGGCAGCAGUGGGGAAUAUUGGACAAUGGGGGCAACCCUGAUCCAGCCAUGCCGCGUGAGUGAUGAAGGCCCUAGGGUUGUAAAGCUCUUUUGUGCGGGAAGAUAAUGACGGUACCGCAAGAAUAAGCCCCGGCUAACUUCGUGCCAGCAGCCGCGGUAAUACGAAGGGGGCUAGCGUUGCUCGGAAUCACUGGGCGUAAAGGGUGCGUAGGCGGGUCUUUAAGUCAGGGGUGAAAUCCUGGAGCUCAACUCCAGAACUGCCUUUGAUACUGAAGAUCUUGAGUUCGGGAGAGGUGAGUGGAACUGCGAGUGUAGAGGUGAAAUUCGUAGAUAUUCGCAAGAACACCAGUGGCGAAGGCGGCUC